GGGUCAGUAGGUUGGUCGUGCCACCGGUACGUACUGGUCUCACUGAUUCCUCCUUCCUGAAGAACCGUAAUGCCAUUAAUUUGGUGUUGCGGGGAAACAGGACUGUUACUUUGAAAAAAUUAGAGUGUUCAAAGCAAGCUAACGCUUGAAUACAUUAGCAUGGAAUAAUGGAAUAGGACGAUCGAUCCUAUUUUGUUGGUUCCUAGGAUUGACGUA
This 216-nucleotide ribosomal RNA is filed under the name Glomeromycotina sp. RNAcentral's name for it is "partial small subunit ribosomal RNA". The stretch from base 44 to 216 matches the Rfam family "Eukaryotic small subunit ribosomal RNA", at positions 690 to 864 of the family's 1831-position model. The record is from RNAcentral. Lineage: Eukaryota; Fungi; Glomeromycota.